CAUACAAUCGUAAAGUAGCCGGCAGGAAAUCUUGUACAUCGACCUUUAGAAAGGGAUUUCGGCUUCGUAGACCGUUGUCUCUGUCACUCAUAUCCAUGUGAUGUUUUGUCGAUCUCAACGACCGCGACAGAUCAAACAACACUCUACAAAAUCGCUA
Long non-coding RNA from Maniola jurtina (meadow brown), 157 nucleotides. RefSeq lists it as uncharacterized. The transcript has 3 exons. NCBI's taxonomy places the organism in Eukaryota, Metazoa, Arthropoda, Insecta, Lepidoptera, Nymphalidae. The record is from RefSeq and is a predicted model, not a curated record.